GAGUAGCCCCUGGCUCUCUACAACUAGAGAAAGCCUGCAUGCAGCAACAAAGAGCCACCCCAGCCAUAAAUAAAUAAAUACAUAAAUCUUUCUUAAAAAGUAAAAACAAAAACAAACUACACAGGGAGGUCACUGGGGACCCUAAUCAGUGCAGUUUCUGAAGGUAAAAAAGCCAGACAGCAGUGGCUGGGAAGAGGAGGCAAAUGUAAAUGACUCCUUGGAGAAGAUUAAAUGGUAUCUGGAAGGUGGCAUGGAAUCGAGGGAUAGCUUUUUAGGUUAAAACUUUUUUUUAUUAUUAUGGAAUAUUUCAAACAUGCACAGAAGUAGUACAAUGACACCCCCCUCCCCCCCAAUAUACCCAUUAUCCAGCUUCAACAAUGGCCAAUUCUUGGCCUGUGAUGUUUCAACCAACCAACCUCCUAACCGCACCUCACCCCACAUACCCUGAAGCACCAGGACAGUAUUUGGAUGAGCAAAACAAAAGCAUUUUAGGUACUGACGGGAGAGGCAUCAGGAGAAAUAAAGAGGCUGAAAACACAAAAGAGAGCACAGAAAUGGAUUAACGACCCUGAGUAAGCACACGGGACUGUGGACUUUCGGGGAAAGGGAAUUAGAGUGAAAUGCGGGAGGCGUUAGCAAAUAAGAGUUUGCGUGUGAGGGGAGGAGUCAAGGGAAGGAGGUAACAUGAGAAAGCAAGGUUGGCUGAAAUAAUGGGAGAGUUAGCCCGGGACAGGGACAAGUUUGCUAGCUCGAGUUAGCCUGGUAAGGAAACGGGUUAGCCCGGGCCACGGAAACAGCUGGAAGAGGUUAAUUUCGGGGGAGGCGAUGGGAUAAAAGAGGUCAGCCUGAAGCGGACAGGACCUGAAGAACCUGCAGGUGUGGAGAGAAAACCUUGGUCUUGAUUUGCCCUAGGUGAUAGGAAGACCAGCUAAGGAAAACAGCAGUGGCAAUUCCUAAGUGCUCCCCAUGUCCAGGCUGUAUCCUUAACUCAUCUGACCCCCGAUCAACUCUCUGAGUUCUCUACCAGGGCUCAGCCAACAGCUGGUGCCAAGGAAAUGUCACCUGCUUACUGAGGAAGCAGUCAACCCUGACCCCAGAACCACAAGCGGGAGAGUUCAGUGUGAAAUGUCUCACCU
Molecule: long non-coding RNA, 1136 nt
Organism: Bubalus bubalis (water buffalo)
Lineage: Eukaryota; Metazoa; Chordata; Mammalia; Artiodactyla; Bovidae
Exons: 4
Source: RefSeq, a predicted model, not a curated record